CUAUGGCACACUCGUGCCUUAUGUGCCACCGAAGCCCCGAAGUGGUCUGGCAUAUACCUUCACAUGUUUCCCUUCAGUAGGAAAUUGCUGGACAGGCGGACCAGCGCACCGGAAUUGUACUGGCGAAGCCACAAGCAACUCAAAGAAUCUGUUUAAUUGUUGCACUUUGAACAAUCAUGCUUCUACAAAGGCCACAGCAGAUCAACAGCCUGAUGCCGAGUAUUUCUGUGCCACGAAGUAAUCAAGAGGCGAGUGCCUAAUGCGGACGAAAUCGAGUGCAUCGAGACUUAGAACGACAGAAAGCUGAGCUAGUUGACAAUGCCUACGCCUAGCCACAGCAGCUCCCUCAUACAGACUCCGCAAGCCAAGAGGCCGUGGAGGCAAAUGCAG
This is a long non-coding RNA of Dermacentor albipictus, 390 nucleotides long. RefSeq lists it as uncharacterized. The record is from RefSeq and is a predicted model, not a curated record. NCBI's taxonomy places the organism in Eukaryota, Metazoa, Arthropoda, Arachnida, Ixodida, Ixodidae.